GCUUGCGGCCAUACCAGCCUGGGUACGCCCGAUCUCGUCUGAUCUCGGAAGCUAAGCAGGGUCGGGCCUGGUUAGUACUUGGAUGGGAGACCGCCUGGGAAUACCAGGUGCUGUAAGCA
RNAcentral lists this ribosomal RNA (119 nucleotides) under Salmo salar (Atlantic salmon). Lineage: Eukaryota; Metazoa; Chordata; Actinopteri; Salmoniformes; Salmonidae. The record is from RNAcentral.